Molecule: small RNA, 30 nt
Filed under: Bombyx mori (domestic silkworm)
Lineage: Eukaryota; Metazoa; Arthropoda; Insecta; Lepidoptera; Bombycidae
Description: ovarian small RNA-11270
Source: RNAcentral
ACCCCACGUGGGGUUGGCCAACCGCCUCGA